UGGGGAAUAUUGGACAAUGGGGGCAACCCUGAUCCAGCAAUGCCGCGUGAGUGAAGAAGGCCUUCGGGUUGUAAAGCUCUUUUGUCAGGGAAGAAACGGUAGUAGCGAAUAACUACUACUAAUGACGGUACCUGGAGAAUAAGCACCGGCUAACUACGUGCCAGCAGCCGCGGUAAUACGUAGGGUGCAAGCGUUAAUCGGAAUUACUGGGCGUAAAGCGUGCGCAGGCGGUUGUGUAAGUCAGAUGUGAAAUCCCCGGGCUCAACCUGGGAAUUGCAUUUGAGACUGCACGGCUAGAGUGUGUCAGAGGGGGGUAGAAUUCCACGUGUAGCAGUGAAAUGCGUAGAUAUGUGGAGGAAUACCGAUGGCGAAGGCAGCCCCCUGGGAUAACACUGACGCUCAUGCACGAAAGCGUGGGGAGCAAACAGGAUUAGAUACCCUGGUAGUCCACGCCCUAAACGAUGUCUACUAGUUGUCGGGUCUUAAUUGACUUGGUAACGCAGCUAACGCGUGAAGUAGACCGCCUGGGGAGUACGGUCGCAAGAUUA
Molecule: ribosomal RNA, 548 nt
Filed under: uncultured bacterium
Lineage: Bacteria
Description: bacterial SSU rRNA
Rfam family: Bacterial small subunit ribosomal RNA
Source: RNAcentral